Molecule: long non-coding RNA, 1098 nt
Filed under: Astyanax mexicanus (Mexican tetra)
Lineage: Eukaryota; Metazoa; Chordata; Actinopteri; Characiformes; Acestrorhamphidae
Description: lncRNA (ENSAMXG00005005755.1)
Source: RNAcentral
GUCCACUAUAUAGUGUUAUAUGGUUGGUUCAAUGUAUUUAUGUCAACUGUAGCUCACAGUCCUGUUUAAAACAUAUAUAAACUUUAUUAAAACUAAACAAACGGUGCAUCUUGGUGAUGUAAGAGAGCAUGGUUGAAUAUGGUAUAGUUGAAUUAAGCCCUCCUUUGAGAGAAAUGCCCCACACUGGUACGGUUUACUGUAAACGAGGCUUGUUAGCAAACCGCUGGCUGUGGAGCUCACGGUGCAGUGAGCAGGGCUGCGUGGGGCUGCAUGCGUGGGCAGCCAUGACACAAAUGACUCAGCAUUUUGCUACCCAGCAGAAAAUAAAAAAAAAUCCCUUAAUAAAUUUUACUCUGAACGUACAACUUUUAGUUCAGACAAUUGAACUCUCACUUAAAAUAACCGAUUCUUUAAUAGCGCUAGUCUUAGAGUUUAGACUGGGUGUGAAAAGUGCUUACAGAACUGUGGCAGAAGCUGCCAGAGCUCCGGCAGGCACUGUGUGGGCUUCAGUAGCAGAGUCGUCGUGCAGGCUGCGCCCAAAAAGGUCGCCGGAGGAAGAGCCGGGCCGAGUGAGGAAACGGACGGCUGCUAUGGCUUCAGGCCGCUGAAAUGGUGCUGGAGUGAGUCACGGCAUCAGGAGACAUCCUGAGAUAUUAACCCCCCCAUCCAACAAUGUGCGCCGCCGCUGACUGCAGGCGCCAGAAGUUGUCAGACCAUCAAAUGACCCGUAUUUUAACACGUACCAUCUUUCCGCCUCAGGGGUCAAAUAUCCAGACUUCAUUUAAUUCUGCCCUGCUUUCACUGUACAAAACUGCACUGUAUGUAUUAUUAGGUGCAUUUUUCUCUCCUUAAGGUCCAAAGAUAAUUUAUUGUUUAAAAAAUUAUUUGUUAACUUUUAAACUUUUUUUUUUUUUAUGUUUUUGUGUGGACACAGAAAUAACUGUGAUAACUGUGAUAUUUUUGUUAAUUUGAGUUUUGUUCAUUUCAUGCCCCUGAAAUAACGAUAAUUUAUUAACAUAAUUUAAUACAGUUACAUUUUAAUUAAAAUACAAUAAUAACAGUAAUAAUAAAACAAAUACUACAUUCUGGCUAUUUACA